Molecule: long non-coding RNA, 2207 nt
Filed under: Malus domestica (apple)
Lineage: Eukaryota; Viridiplantae; Streptophyta; Magnoliopsida; Rosales; Rosaceae
Description: long non-coding RNA (MDOM_LNC005314)
Source: RNAcentral
AACAACAACGCUUCUCUCUAUUACUGUGGUACAAGGUCACUUGUAAUUCUCUCUCAUCUUUCACCCUUUCCAACUUCUCUCUCUAUGGCCUCGUUUGACACGCCCCGACCCUGAUAUUCCCUGAAUACCAGGAUAGACACGUGCUGGCCGACACCCGAGGGUGACGAAAGCCAUUAAUUGAUACAAAAGCUAAGUAUAAGAAAUAAAUAAGGGUUAGAAAUUUAAAAUACGAAGAAUUAAUAAUUUUAGGAACGUGCUCAGAGCAUACAACUAACCUAAUCACUAAAAAGGAUUAAGAUAAAAUUGGAUGAAUAAGGAAGUGGGUCCUACAUCGAGAGGAUCCGAAGAUGCUACUGCGGAAGUGUCUUCAUGCCGGGAUUAGGUGCCUUGAUUCUAAGUCCUGAAUGGGGGCGCAAAACAAAGGUGAGUGGGCCAAGUUCAUAUAUAUAAUAAUAAUAAAACAAUUAUCAAGAUAUUAACCCCCACAGUUUAUAUAUAAUGAAAACUACUAGCAUAAUAAGUGAUGGAUUUAAUGAAAAUCCUAGCAUGCCAAAUAUCUCAAAAGCCAUAUCGCGGAAACGCAUCGCGGAAAUCAAAACAGUAAACGUAUCAUAAAUCGUCUCGUAUAACGCGGUGUGCUGCUAGAAAGAUCACUGAAUAAAUAUAACUCCCGGCCCAAUGCCUGCACCUCAAUCUCUGUGCCCGUAGCCAGAGAUAACUCCCUCCCGGCCCAGUGUCUGUCACCGUGUCCCUCAGCCUUUCGCUAGGGAUUAUUUCUCCCGGCCUACCUGCCAACACCAGAUCCUCGCCCCAGGCGGCAUAGUGCCCACUAGGUACGCACAAAUAGUUACGUCUCUCUUAAAUAACCACUUCAUAGCAUAGGUUACCGAUCAUCAUCUACACUAUAAAGAGGGGUUCAAAAACAUGUUCUAGCAUCCUAUCGUCAUCUAUCAGAUAGUCUACCAGUUCAUGGUUUUUAUAGAAAAUAUGAUAUAUAUUAAAAUAUAGCUCAAUAUAAGCUAACAAUUAUUUCCUCACCAAAACACGAGACGAAAUCAAUAAAUUGAGUAAACAGGAUUGAUAUAAAUCAAUUCAUAAAAUUCGUAGGCAUGCUAAUCAUUUAUGCAAUUACUAUUAAAUCAUGUAAUUUUAGAAGGGGUUCACUCACAAUACUUAGUUGCCAAAAGCUGCGCCACUAGUAAAGACGGAAACGUCACAAUAAUUGCCCCUAAGCACAUAAAGAGUACAAUAAUUAAAACUAUAUAAUAGCAAUUGAAUUUGGGAAAAUGGACAUUGGAAAUGGAUUCAGAACGUCGAAUUACCCUAAGAAGGGUCCCGGACGAAAACCCGAAAAGUCAACCAUAAAGUCAACGUUGACCGAGGGUCAACGAUCAAAUUAGGUCAAACGGAUUUUAGGCUUGAAAUCCGGAUUAGGGUUUAGGUUUAGGUUAAGUAGGGUUAGGACCUAUUGGGUUUUGAACUAAAUAAAAUAAGGGAAUUGGGUUGGAUGGGUUAGGCCCUAAUAGAUUUUAGAAACCUAGGGUUUUUGGGUUAAAAGGGUUUAGGAUGGAAAAAUUGGGGUUUGGGCUUUAGCCCAAACACACACACUAAAAGCACACACACACAUGCACGGCAUGCAUGUGCAUGCAUAAACACACACACACACAUGCCUAAGCAUACCCACACACACACACGAGCACAAGGCCCUAAGGCCUCACAAGGGCAGGGCUUUAAGCCCCUUUAAAUCAAAACCGGUCCAAGGCCAUUUAUAUAAGGCCCGAGCCCUUUUUGGGUUUUAAAACCAAUAAACAAAACUUAAAAACUAAAGGGGCUAGGGUUUUAGGCUUAAGACAACACGGGCCUAAGGCCCGAGGGAGAGGGAAAGGCCGGGUGGCCUGUUGCCAAGGAAGAAGAAGGCCGGAAAUUCGGCCGGAAAACCACCCCACUUUAAACGGUCAUAACUUUGUUACUACUCAACGAAAUCAAGCGAGACAAAAAAAAAAAGUUGUAUUCCUUGAAGAGACGAAGAGAAUGGUACCUCACACGACGUCUAACUCGCCGUUUUUUGGCCGAAAAAUUCCUCGAAAGCCUCGGAGGUCGCCGGAAACUGGGUAAAAUUCAAAUGAGUAUAACUUCUUCAAUACGCCAUUAAAUUGAGUAAAACAAAAAUGAAAGUUAUAGUACUCGACGAGACGAAGAGAUUGAUA